RNAcentral lists this transfer RNA (47 nucleotides) under Scorpaenodes guamensis (Guam scorpionfish). RNAcentral's name for it is "partial tRNA-Val". The record is from RNAcentral. Lineage: Eukaryota; Metazoa; Chordata; Actinopteri; Perciformes; Scorpaenidae.
ACACUUCCCUUACACUGAAGAGAUAUUCGUGCAAACCGAAUCACCCU